AUGGAUGCGCUCAUUGACUGGGAUUUCUCGUAUGGCCAGAAGGUGGCCGAUCAGGUGCGUCGUCGGUUUCACUCUUCGGUCCACUUUGAUGGAUCUAACUCCUCUUCGGAGUUAUUUUUGGUGGUUCUUUUCCAUUCGAGUUCUUUUCUCUUGGAUGUGGAUUCUGUCUCCAUGGCGCUCUGCUCCUGCUUGGGAGGCAAUCUCAAGAGGUUCAACGUGUUUAUGCUCUCGGAUAAUCUUUUCCGUUUCUCGGUUGCUUCCAACCGGGUGGGUCAUUUCAUUUGUGCUUUGAAGGGUUGCCGCAUGCCAGCGUUUCACUGUUCGUUCAAUCUCUUUCACGGCAAGCCCUUUGUUCUGGAUCGUCGGGUGCCCAAGGUUGGUUCGGAAUGGAUGAUGCAUACCAAUCGGAAGCGUUCGCUUCAACGUUAUCUUCAUAACAUUCCGCCAGAUCUAUUAAAUUCUACGCAUGGCCAUCAACGUAAACCCCUGGGUAUUAAGGCUCAUCUUGCAAAACGUGGUGCCUAUAGUGCACAGGCUUCUAAAUGGAUUGCAGCAUUCAAUGGUGGGGGUCAGGAAGAUUCUAUUGGCCCUGUAGUUCAUAAUUGUAAUCUUAUUACGGUGGAUGAUUCCUUGGCUGCUUCUCAUUUGGAUUAUCCAUUCAAAUUUGGGAAGUUUACGUUUUGCCUUGAAUCGUGA
Molecule: ribosomal RNA, 696 nt
Filed under: Triticum aestivum (bread wheat)
Lineage: Eukaryota; Viridiplantae; Streptophyta; Magnoliopsida; Poales; Poaceae
Description: partial small subunit ribosomal RNA
Source: RNAcentral